AAAUAACAACACUGGAAAUUUUAUUUCUAGUGAUUGGAAUGAUGGGAAUUUAAACCCCUUUCAGAGUAACAAUUGGAGGGCAAGUCUGGUGCCAGCAGCCGCGGUAAUUCCAGCUCCAAUAGCGUAUAUUAAAGUUGUUGCAGUUAAAAAGCUCGUAGUUGGAUGUCUGCUGGAAGCAAUCAGUCCGCCCUAUUUGUAGGGUGUGCACUUGAUGAAUUCUGGCAUUUUUGUCCCAAUGAUGUAGCGGGGCGGUGGUAUUGGGUGAAAGCUCAAUAGCGUCUUUUCCGAUUAUUGGGAUACUGUUACUUUGAGAAAAUUAGAGUGUUUGAAGCAGGCUAAUUGCCUUGAAUACUGCAGCAUGGAAUAACAAUAUAGGAUUUCGGUUCUAUUUUGUUGGUUUCUAGGACUGAAAUAAUGAUUAAUAGGGACAGUUGGGGGCAUUCGUAUUUAACUGUCAGAGGUGAAAUUCUUAGAUUUGUUAAAGACGAACUACUGCGAAAGCAUUUGCCAAAGAUGUUUUCAUUAAUCAAGAACGAAAGUUAGGGGCUCGAAGACGAUCAGAUACCGUCGUAGUCUU
Molecule: ribosomal RNA, 577 nt
Filed under: Sarcocystis sp.
Lineage: Eukaryota; Apicomplexa; Conoidasida; Eucoccidiorida; Sarcocystidae
Description: SSU rRNA
Rfam family: Eukaryotic small subunit ribosomal RNA
Source: RNAcentral